AGGACGAACGCUGGCGGCGUGCUUAACACAUGCAAGUGGAGCGACGAACCAGGGCUUGCCCUGGGGCAGAGCCGCGAACGGGUGAGUAACACGUGGGUUACCUGCCUCGAUGACCGGGACAACCCGAGGAAACUCGGGCUAAUACCGGAUGUGCCCGCAAGGGGAAAGGAAGCUUCGGCCUCCGCAUCGAGAUGGGCCCGCGGCCCAUUAGCUUGUUGGUGAGGUAACGGCUCACCAAGGCUUCGAUGGGUAGCUGGUCUGAGAGGACGAUCAGCCACACUGGGACUGAGACACGGCCCAGACUCCUACGGGAGGCAGCAGUGGGGAAUCUUGCGCAAUGCGCGAAAGCGUGACGCAGCAACGCCGCGUGGGGGAAGAAGGCUUUCGGGUUGUAAACCCCUUUCAGUUGGGACGAAGCUUCUUUGGUGAAUAGCCAAACGGAGUGACGGUACCUUCAUAAGAAGCACCGGCUAACUACGUGCCAGCAGCCGCGGU
This 495-nucleotide ribosomal RNA is filed under the name uncultured bacterium. RNAcentral's name for it is "SSU rRNA". It matches the Rfam family "Bacterial small subunit ribosomal RNA", at positions 26 to 521 of the family's 1533-position model. The record is from RNAcentral.